Molecule: long non-coding RNA, 6182 nt
Organism: Gorilla gorilla gorilla (western lowland gorilla)
Lineage: Eukaryota; Metazoa; Chordata; Mammalia; Primates; Hominidae
Exons: 5
Source: RefSeq, a predicted model, not a curated record
GGCUGCCACCGCUGAGCGGCGCGGAGGCUGCAGCGUUCCGUCUGCGGACAGAAAGCAGGCGUUGGGGACUGCUACUCGCAGCCUGCCAGGGGCAGCAGCCGCCCCAGGUUCAAGUGGCUAUGUGCCAGGAUACUCAGGCGCGGCUGGUGGCUGCCCGUGGGAGAGCCAGUGCUCUCCGCAGGUCCAAAGUGCAAGGCCGGGCUAUUCCCGGACUUGCCUAGGCGCAGGGGCCCCCAGCGCGUCCGGGAUUGCCCCGGCGCGUCGGGCGCGCGAACUUGUGCGCAAGGGAGAAGAGCGCUUACCAUGGAACAUGGUCUGCGGGAGGCGGGCGUAGUCAUGAUGACCGCAACUGGAGCAGGAGCAAGCUCUCACCGCCCAUAGUCACUCCCAGGACCCUGGUCUUCCGCGGAGUUGCCGAGUCUGUGUUGGGCAGGGUGAUCUCUGCAGCUGGCUCCUCUUACCCACGCCGCGACUGCAGUUUCAUCCAUCCCAGGGGGGGCGGCACACACCACGGCGUGGCUCUGCGCUUUGCCUUUUCCAUAACUUCCGUAGGAUCCGCCAGCAGUGUACUUUCAGUUUCUACUUUGCGCUUGGUCUGCAGGUUCAAUCUUUGGGAUCAUCAGCAUGGAAUCUUCAUUAUCCCCUCUCUCCUGGGCACCUGCUUCCCGCGCACCUGGAUGAGGACCAGAGGAGGGCGCGAAUUUCCGAAUCACCGCAGGAAAAACCAGCUGGCCUGAAUCAAAGCGAUUCUGGGUAAAAGACUUUCCAGAUGACCUCUCAACGCCUUGGCAACGCUUGGCUUCUGGGAGCUAGAACCAUGAGUUGUUAAUGUGUGCACGGAAGCCACAAGUGUGCAGGACGCAAGCUGGGUUAUUGGAAGCGGACGAUACCAAGGAGGCGUUGCCGCGGAUGUGGUGGACGAUGCCAAGUCGUCUUUUAAAAAGGGAAGUGAAGAAUGAUUAAGAGGGUCACGCCCUCUACCACUCCAACCUCUCUAAUCAGUCUCUUUCUGCUCCGUCUGCUGUACAUGCACCUGCUCAGGUGAGACCUCAAGGAAAAAUAAUCCUGUGGGUCCACCUAAUCUGACAACCACAGUUGCUAACAGUAUGAGUUCUGCAGUUAUACAGAACUAAGUCCAUUAGCUGUGUGACCCAUGGCCAAAUGUUUUCCUUCUCUGUGCCUGCAUUUCUUCAUCUGUAAACUGGAAUAAUGAUAGCAACUACUUCAGAGGACUAUGCUAGAGUGCAAUGGCACAAUCUUGGCUCACUGCAACCUCCACUUCCCAGGUUCAAGUGAUUCUCCUGCCUCAGUCUCCUGAGUAGCUGAUAUUACAGGUGUCUGCCACUACACCCAGGUGGAGUCUCACUCUGUUGCCCAGGCUGGAGUGCAGUGGCGCCAUCUCGGCUCACUGCAACCUCCAACUCCCAGGUUCACACCAUUCUCCUGUCUCAGCCUCCCGAGAAGCCGGGACUACAAGCACCUGCCGCCACACCCGGCUAAUUUUUUGUAUUUUUAGUAGAGACAGGGUUUCACCAUGUUAGCCAGGAUGGUCUCGAUCUCCUGACCUCAUGAUCUGCCCGCCUUGGCCUCCCAAAGUGUUGGGAUUACAGGCAUGAGCCACCGUGCCAGGUGGUUUUAUAAGGGAAUUUCCCCCCACUUUUUUCUGCACUUCUCCUUGCUGCUGCCAUGUGAAAAAGGAUGUGUUUGCUUCCCCUUCUGCCAUGAUUGUAAGUUUCCUGAGCCCUGUGUCCCAGCUGCUCCAGUGGUGACUAAAAGAGGCCAAGGUAUAGCUCAGGUCGUUGCUUCAGAGGGUGCAAGACCCAACUCUUGGGUUGGGUCUUGGCGUUGGUGUUCAUCCUGCAGAGGCCCAUAAGACAAGAAUUGAGGUUUGGGAACUUUCGCUUAGAUUUCAGAGGAUGCAUGGAAAUGCCUGGAUGUCCAGGGAGAAGUUUGGUGCAGGGGUGGAGUCCUCCUGGAGAACCCCUGCUAGAUCAGUGCAGAAGGGAAACGUGAGGUGGGAACCACCACACAGAGUCCCCACUUGGGCACUGCCUAGAGUGGCUGUAAGAAAAGGGUCACCAUUCUCCAGAACCCAGAAUGGUAGAUCCACAGACAGCUUGCACCCUGCACCUGGAAAAGCCACAGACACUCAAUGCCAGACAUGAAAAAACCCAAGAGUGGGGCUGUAUCCUGCAAAGCCACAGGGGCAGAGCUGCCCAAGGUUGUGGGAGCCCAUCUCUUGCAUCAGUCUAACCUGGAUGUGAGACAGGGAGUCAAAGGAGAUCAUUUUGGAACUUUGCAGUUUAAUGACUGCCCCGUUGAAUUUCAGACUGGCAUAGGUCCUGAACCCCCUUUGUUUUGGUCAGUUUCUCCCAUUUGGAAUGGGUGUAUUUUCUCAAUGCUUGUCCCCAUUAUAUAGCUAAAUUGCUUUUGAUUUUACAGGCUCCUAGGGACCUGAGAAAAGGGACUUGUCUUGUCUCAGAUGUGACUUUGGACUUGGACUUUUGAGUUCAUGCUAGAAUGAGUUAAUACCUGGGAGGACUGUUGGAAGGACAUGAUUGUGUUUUGAAUUUUGAGGACAUGAGUUUUGUGAUGGGCUGGGGUGGAAUAUGGUUUGGCUAUGUUGCCAGCCAAAUCUCAUCUUGAACUGUAGUUCCCAUAAUCCUCAGGUGUUAUAGGAGAAACCUGGUGGGAGGUAAGUGGAUCAUGGGGACGGUUACCUCCAUGCUGUUCUCAUAAUAGUGGGUGAGUUCUCAUGAGAUAUGAUGGUUUUUUAAGGUGCUUUUCUCCAACUUCACUCUGCACUUUUCCUUGCUGCCGCGAGGUAAGGAGGGAUGUGUUUGCUUCCCCUUCUGCCAUGAUUGCAAGUUUCCUGAGGCCUCCCCAGUCAUGCUAAACUGUGAGUCAAUUAAACUUCUUUCCUUUAUAAAUUACUCAGAUUUGGGUAUGUACUUAUUAGCAACGUGAGAAUGGACUAAUACAGGUCUUAGCUAUAGGAUGUGGGAGACAUCAUAAAGAAUCUCUUACAUUUAAAAAAUCUUAUUUCCCGCCAUGUGUAGUAGCGACCCAGCAUCCCCUUAAUAAUCAGGAUCUGUUAUCCCAGACAAUAGAUUAACUUCCUCUUUGUAUAUUGAUUAAGAAGGACAAGGAACCCAAACUGGGCAGGUAGUAGCCUCAACAUCCAUUUUGCUGCAAUCAUUGUUCUGUCUCCUGGUGGAAGUAUUUCCCCUUUUGGAACAAAGAUCUCUAGACCAUCAUAGGCUACAGUUGAGGAGACAUAAUGCAAAAAUAUAUCUGAGAGAUCAUUAAGGGUAAUAAUGCAUAGAGUUACUCCCAUUUCCACUCCUUAAUUUCUGGACAAAUAAACCCUGGCCGUAGGGAAAACAGCACCAUAUAAUGGAUGGUGAUGUAGAGCAUUAACACAUCCUAGAGGAAAGUGCCCCUAUCCUGACUCCUGCUAGGUAUUUCUAUUUAGCUGAAAGUGUAACUGAGUCUUCAAAAGACUGUCCAACAUUCUAUAAAGUCAGCUACUUCAAGACAAUUUGGAACAUAGGCUAGUGGAUUCCGUAAGCAUGAGAUCAUUGCCAUGUUUAAUCACUACAAAGUAAGUUCCUUGACCAGAGCUGUGUAUAAUACUGUGAUGGUGGAUAAGAUAUUCUCUAAGUCGACAGGUGCUAAUUUUGGCAGAAAUACUGUAUGCAAGGAAAGCAAGUCCAUGUUCAGAAGAAGUGUCUAUUCUAGUAAGAACAAUGUAUCUUCUAUGAUGAAAGCAGUUCUCUGUAAUCAAGCAACCAUCAGGUAGUUGGCUGUUAUCUUGGGGCAUGGUUCUAUUAUGAGGACUCAGUGUUGGUCUUUGCUGCUGGCAGAGUAUAGACUUAGGUCAGGAAAGCCCCAGUGAGUAUAAUUUCAUGUUUCUGAGCCUAUGCGUCAUCUCCAUUCCUGACAUCAUAGCCAAUUUGUUCAGAGCUCGUUAGUGGCUGGAGUGUCUGAAGAAAGAGAUGACUGGUAUCCAGACAUUUUUUCCUAUCCACUUGAUUAUUAAAAUCAUUCUCUGUUGACGUAAUCCUGUGUUGAAGAUUCAAAAGAGAUGCCAACAUGUUCACCCACUUUAUUCAUUUUGUGAGAUCUAUAUACAUACUGCUUUCCAAGACUUCUUUGUCACCAAUUUUUCCAAUUAUGUUUCUUCCAAGUUCCUAACCAUCCAUCCAAACCAUUAGCCUCACCCCAUUGAAUAAUACAGAGUCAUAUAUCUGACCAUUUCUCCUUCAAUGGAAAGUGAACAACGAGGUGAACUGCUCUAAGUUCUGCCCACUGAAAGAACUUUUCCUCACCACUGUCCUUCAAAAAUGUCCCAGAAAAGAGCUAGAGUGAUGGAGUUUUCUACUUUUGGCUGGUGCUGCAUGUUGUGCAGAACUAUCUGUAAACCAGGUCUGAGUUUUCACUUUCUCAGUUAACUGAUAAGAAACUCCCAAUGAGGCCAUUGGUGUGGGCUGAGAUUGAGAAGAUAAUGUGGCAGGAGUAGGGCCGUGGGCAUUUGUGUUACUUCCUUAUGUAACUUACUAUUGCCCGGAAAGCCACCUCAAGCCUCACAUAUACCACUUCCAUUGACUGGCACAGUACUGCUGUGCAUGCCUAACUUCCAUGCUUAGUAGAUUAGACAGCACCCAGUUCAUGAUAGAUAGCUCAGAUCACAUUAUAACUUGGUGGUCCAUGAUAAUAUAUUCGGUCCCUAUUAAGACCUGGGACCAAGCCAAAAACUGUUUCUCAAAAAUAGGAUACACCUCUCCUCAAAUAAUGUCAUUUUGUUAUAAUGUUGAUAAGAAAAAAAAAAUCGAUUCCCUUUCAGGCUACUGUCUGUGUGGAGUUUGCACAGUCUCCCCAUGUCUGUGUGGGUUUUCUUCAGGGACUCCUGUCUUCUCUCACAUCCCAAAGUUGUGCAUGUUAGGUGAAGUGGAGUGUUUAAAUCAUCCCCACUGGAGUGAGUGUGGGUGUGUGUGAGUGCACUCUGUGAUGGAUGGGGUCCUGCCCGGGUUGCACCCUGAGCUGCUGAGAUAGGCUCCAGCCACUUGUGACCCUGAACUGGAAUAAUUGGGUAAACAAUUAUCUUACUUGUUUUCAUUAACCUUUCUUAAAUAUGUGUGUAGCCCAUAUUUAUUUUAAUAUUUAAUAUUAGAAGUGUUUUCAUCUUUAUUUAAAAGUUGAGUGAUGUUUCUGUGACCAGAAAUAUGCAUAUUGCUUGAAGGUGCAGUUUUUGAGAAUCUAUAGAUCAGGUCAAGUGAGGACUUACUGUACAUAUCUGCAGAAAAUAGCAGAGUUUUACUCUAAAAUCCUGAGUCUGUGUUAUGAUUCACUUAUAAGAGGCUUCCAAAGACUCCAAAAAGCAUCUCUCUCUGACACUGACAUUUUAAAUGUCAUCAGAUCUUCCGGAUCAUGGCUUGCUGGUGACACAUGGCCCAAAUGUCAGAACAGCUUGCACAGCAGGCUAGACCUGAUGCAGAACCCUUUCUUGAUCUUGCUUCUACUCAAAACUAGCAGCUUUUCAGGUCUUUCAGUAAAUGGGCUGGAGUAGUACACACAAAAAGAACAAUGUGCUGCCUUGAAAAUCUAAAGAGGCCCCCUAUGCAAUGCGCUUCUUUUUUGGCUGUAGGAGGACCAAUCAGAUACAAAAAUCUUAUUUUUCACCUGAGAAGGAAUACUUUGACCUUCCUUUCACCAUUAGACCCUGGGAAUUAGUUGAUAUGGAAGACCUCUCAAUUUUUGUGAAAUAUAUUUCCCACCCUCUGAAACACAAGUGUCCAGAGCAGUUGCUAGUUUCUGGUUACCAGGUCCAAUCAGCAUAAUGUCAUCAAUGCAAUGGAACGGACUGAUUUUCUGCAGAAAGGGAAAUCAAUCAAGGUCCCAGCGGACUACAUGAUGAUAUAAGGCUGAAGAAUGGACAUAUCCUGUGAAUAGCUGUAUACCAAAUACCUGAGGAUGUGUUAAUUUGCCCAAGCGAUUAAACCACCUCUGGAACAGCAGCUGUAAUUAGAAUCACCACCUGAUUAAGUUGACAGUAAUCCACUGUCAUUCUCCAAGAUCCAUCUGUUUUGUGCACAGGCCAAAUAGAUGAAUUGAAUGUGGAUGUGGUGGGAAGUCACUAUGCUCACACGUUUUACGUCCUCCAGGAUUGCAGCAUUACUUUU